RNAcentral lists this ribosomal RNA (429 nucleotides) under uncultured bacterium. Its description in RNAcentral is "bacterial SSU rRNA". It matches the Rfam family "Bacterial small subunit ribosomal RNA", at positions 355 to 775 of the family's 1533-position model. The record is from RNAcentral.
UAGGGAAUUUUGCACAAUGGGCGCAAGCCUGAUGCAGCAACGCCGCGUGAGUGAAGAAGGCUCUUGGGUCGUAAAGCUCUUUCGGCUGGGAAGAAGGGGUAUCCCGCGAAUAGUUGGGUAUUCUGACGGUACCAGAAGAAGAAGCACCUGCUAACUACGUGCCAGCAGCAGCGGUAAUACGUAGGGUGCAAGCGUUGUUCGGAAUUACUGGGCGUAAAGGGCGCGUAGGCGGGCCCGUGUGUCGAUUGUGAAAGCCCAGGGCUCAACCUUGGAAUUGCAGUCGAAACUGCGGGUCUUGAAUGCCUGAGGGGAUGGCGGAAUUACCGGUGUAGAAGUGAAAUUCGUAGAUAUCGGUAAGAACACCUGAGGCGAAGGCGGCUAUCUGGCGGUGCAUUGACGCUGAGGCGCGAAAGCGUGGGGAGCAAACAG